GGUCUCGAUGGAUGGUGAU
RNAcentral lists this small nuclear RNA (19 nucleotides) under Arabidopsis thaliana (thale cress). RNAcentral describes it as "snRNA_14580". The record is from RNAcentral. Lineage: Eukaryota; Viridiplantae; Streptophyta; Magnoliopsida; Brassicales; Brassicaceae.